GACGAACGCUGGCGGCGUGCUUAACACAUGCAAGUCGAACGGACAGGCCCUGCUUUUGUGGGGUGCUCGAGUGGCGAACGGGUGAGUAAAACGUGAGUAACCUGCCCUUGAAUUUGGGAUAACUUCAGGAAAAUGGGGAUCAUACAGGAUAGGAGCUACUGCUGCACGGUGGGGGUUGGAAAGUUUCGGCGGUUGGGGCUGGAAUAGCAGCAUAUCAGCUUGUUGGUGGGGUUGUGGAUUACAAAGGGUUUGAAGGGUAGCCGGCCUGGGAGGGGGGCCGGCCACAAGGGUACUGAGAUACGCCCCAGUCGCCUACGGGAGGCAGCAGUGGGGAAUAUUGCACAAUGGCCGGAAGCCUGAUGCAGCAACGCCGCGUGCGGGAUGACGGCCUUCGGGUUGAAAACCGCUUUCGCCUGUGACGAAGCGGGAGUGACGGUAAUUGGUAAAGAAGCACCGGCUAACUACGUG
Molecule: ribosomal RNA, 468 nt
Filed under: uncultured bacterium
Lineage: Bacteria
Description: partial 16S ribosomal RNA
Rfam family: Bacterial small subunit ribosomal RNA
Source: RNAcentral